CUUUUCUUUAUGCAAAUUAGUUUGUGUUAUUAUGGCAGAAAGCUCUGCGCUAGUAAACCUCUGCCGAAGGCUUCAAAUUUCCAGUUGGAACUGAUGGGAAAAUUGAGGCGGAAGAUAAUAUAUGUCCACAUUGUGAGCUAGCUGCUCUCUUCCAGCCAUGUAUCAAGCUCUCUGGAUUUGGUUCCCAACACAUGAUUUUGGUUCAUAGUUCAGCACUGAGGCAGGCAAAAGAAAUCAAGAAUGUAUUGAUGUAUUUAGCUCACCAAGGUCAGCUGUGCCUUGGAUUUCUUUGAAACAGACUUGGGUAGACUUUAACUAGUAAGGGAUGGAGAGAUAAGAGGACAGAGGAGUAUGACUGCUGGCAAAUUAAAUUUUCAGAAUUUACUGGUCAAAAAGUCAAAGUUUUUAAAAAUUUAUUUACAGGUUUUCAAAUUAUUCCCAGCGCAGGUGAAGAUCUCAGCAUGGCAAACAUAAACCUAUUAAGUGAAAUGCCGUCAGUUCCAGCUGUCCUGUGAAGACCCCUUCAAAGUUUAAUCCACAGGUCUUGUAGCCUGUCAGAAAAACCCCUCAGUUAAUAACUUGGAGUCUCUGAAGCCCGUGGAUGAACCACAAGAUGUCGAUAAGGCCCCAGGGGGACAGCUGGACUACUUUAUCAGGAUGGAGAGUGGAAGAUAUCUGACCAUGCUGAGCUCUUGUGUGAAUGCGUGUGUACUGCUUGAACAGACAGUCAUUCAUCUGUGUCAGUCUACAACCUGACAAGAGGACUCCUGAAAAUGAGAGUCACAGAGCAGGGGGAAGAGAAGACUUGGGGCCAGGAGAUGACACCACUCCAGCGUACUGGUACUCCAAUAUAAUCAAGGCUGUGCAGCUGGAUUGCUGGUGAUUCCAUAAGAGGCCUCUUAAGCUAAAACAUAUAGAAUAUACAAGAAAGUCGAAAUGAUGGAAUCAAUUUUGCUUUCUAAGUACCUUUAUCCCACUUUCUUUAUGGAGUUAAAUGAUCUGCAGUGAAUGAACCCGCAAAAACCUCCCAGAUUUGCUCCCCAUCACUUUCUUCAUGGAAGAGGCUUUGCUACCCUGUGUUGAUUGGGUUGGAGCAGCAUGAACUAGACCUGGCAUACACACGGUGUUGUGGCAGUGGUUGUUGCAGCAGCUGUGGUGUGGCAAGGCACAAUGAUGGUGAGUCCAAGAAUUUGUCUUGAUGGACCUGGGUGAUGAGCACCACCAUGAAGAAAAGACUUCUGUCACAGCAAGCAAAGGCCAGAUCCCCAGGAAAGUAUCUGUCUUCCUACUAAAGUACCAGGAUGGUGAAAAAGGCUCUCAUGGCUGAUGGGCAGCUGUGUCUGAGAUGGCUUCCCCUGCUUGUCUUUCCCUGUGUUUCCUACUUUGUACUGCUCUCCUUUACCUCCUCCCUAGUGCUGUCGUGGAGAGAUCACCAAUAUGUGAUCAACAGACCAAAAAGGUUGAUCAUUAGGAAGAUAAGACCUCCCUAGCACAUCGCCAGUUGUUUUAAGAUGUUUCUGAUUAAUGAUUCUAUUUUAGCCAUUUCAGUGCUCAGCAAUCUUUAUUUUUCGGUGUUGAUAGUGGAAGUCCAUGCCUUUCCUGAAUCGGAGUUAUUUUGACCAAUAAUCCAAAUGUGGGUCAAUUCAAAUCAAUAGAAAUGUCAUUAGCAUCCCAGUACUGUGAAGAUAAUAUGAACAUUUCUCAUGCAUUCAGUUUAUUAAAAUUUACUAAAGUGUGAAAUAUGUAUGACAAGUAAUGAUGUUUUAAUCUUUCACCAAGGUAACAAUUGAAAGCUGAUUGAUUCCAUUCAGUAAUUAUAAAAUCAAAAUGAUGGAAGAUUGUAAUCAAAAAGGAUUCUGUCUCAUACUUUGUCAUGCCUCCAUGCAAGAUAAAAUUCUUAUUUGUAACAUCUCUUAUAUCCAAAAAGUAAUCAAACUCCUAUUUGGCCAGUUUAAAUCUCAUGGCUGGUUGGACAGCAAACUUUCUUUUAAACUCUGAUGAGGAGAAAAAAGUAGCCUGCAUCCACCAAAGCUGCCGGUUUUCCAGGAGAAUGGCAUAGGAGACAGUAUCAAAGGCUUUACUAAAGUCCAGGUAGACAAUACCUACAGCCUUUCCCUCAUCCACCAGGCAGGUUAUCUGGUUAUAAAUGGAGAUCAGGUUGGUCAGACAGGACCUGCCUUUCACAGCCCCCUGCUGGCUAGGCCUGAUCCUUUGGUUGUCCUAUAUGUGCAGUGUGAUCACCUACAAGAGGAUCUUUAUUCCAUAACCUUCUCCAGCAGCAGGGUCAGGCUGACACUGUAAUUCCCCAGAUCUUCCUUCUGGCCCUUUUUGUGGAUAGGCAUCACACCGUCCAGCUUUCAGUCAUCUGGGACCUCCCUGGUUAUCUAGGACUGAUAAAUGGUGGAAAGCAGCUUGGUGAGGUCUUUUGCCACCUCCCUCAGUAUCCUUAGAUGAAUCUUAUCUGCUGCCAUACACUUAUGAAUGUCUGACUAGCUCAGCAGGUCACUAACUACUUAUUCCUGGAUUUCAAGUGGUCUUUUCUGCUCCCUCUCCCUGUCUACCAGCAGCCAGGGACUGGUUGCCCUGAGGAUAUCCAGUCUUUCUGUAAAAGACUGAGGCCAAGAAGGCAUCAAGUAUCUCAGCCUUUUCCUCAUCCUUGGUGAAAAUGUUCCCCUCCCCAUCUUAAAAAGGAUAGAGAUCUUCCUUGUACCUCCUUUUGUUUGGAGGACUUAGAAAAACAUUUUACUAUGCUUCAAAGCAGUGACCAGAUUAAGUUCUAGCUGAGCUUUCACCUUUCUGAAUUCUGUCUACAUGAUCCAACAACACCCUUGUAUUCUUCCAGAGUUGUCUUCACCUUCUUCCAAAGGUCAAAAGUUCUCUUUAUUUCCCUGACUUCCCCUGCAAAAGCUCCCUUUUCAGCUAGGCCAGUCUUCUUCCCAACUAGCUUGUCUUUUGGUACAUAGCGAUGGCCUGCUCCUGCACCUUUAAGGUUUCCUCCUAAAGUAUGUCCAGCCUUCCUGGACCCAUUUGCUAUUAAGGACUCUUUUUCAGGGAGCUCUAUGAACCAGUGUUGGAACAGGUCGAAGUCUAAGGUAGAAGAUUUGUUACCCACUUCCUUACUUCAACCCAGUUGUUUCAUAUUCAUUGAAACAGUCCAUAUCUCCCACCAGCCCUUCUUUGUUUUCAAACAACAGGUCUGUCAGGGCACUGACCCUGACGACUUACUUAUGAAGAUAGGAAAUUAUCUUCUGCACACUCAGGAAUCUCCUAGACUGACCUCUCUCAGCUGUGUUGAGUUUCCAGCAGACAUCCAGUAAGGUAAAGUCUCCAACAAGAGUAAGGGUUAGCACUCUUGGAACCUCAGUCAGCCGCUCAUGGAAUACUUCAUCUGCCUCUUCAUUCUCGUAGUGUACUCUGUAACAGACUCCCACCAGUAUAUCUGCCUUGCUAGCCUUCCCCCUGAGUCUUACCCAUAGCCACUCAGCCUUGUCAUCACUGUCCUUCAGCUCUGUGCAGUGAAACACUCCCUAAUGUACAAAGCCACUCCACUGCCUCUUCUUCCCCACCCGUCCCUUCUGAAGAACCAUUAUAACUCUCGUGACAGCACUCCAGCCAUGUGAGUCAUCCCACCACCUUUCGGUGAUGGUGACAGUCACAGCUUUCCUGCUGCCAAUGGCUUCCUCCUGUUUAUUGCUUUGUUACCCAUACUGUGUGCACUGUGUGGAUGCUCUUCAGCUGGACUACUGAUUUCACUCCCAGUGCUAACAUGCCCACUCUAGGCUCAUCUCUGCUGAGGCUAGUUUUAUCAUAGUCCCCCUUAAACCUGGUUUAAAACCCUCUCAAUCAGCCCUGCCAACUCAUGGGCUAGAAUUCCUUUUCCCUCGUUUGGACAGGCAAACCCUAUCUCUUUCCAGCAGGCACCAUAUAAAACACCCCAUGAGCAAAAAAGCCAGAAUUCCAACAGUGGCACCAGUCUUUAAGUCACAUGUUGAUCAGGUGGCUGUUCCUUUUGGCAUUCUUCCCUGCUACUGAAAUAAUUGAGGAAAACAAUAUCUAUGCUCCUGUCCUUACAACCAAUUAUCCCAGUGCCCUGAAGUCCUUUUUGAUUGUUGUAGGACUUCUCUCCUCAGUGUCAUUACUGCCAACCUGGGCAACAACAGUGGAUAAUAAAUCAGCAUGCUGACUCAGUUCAGGGAAUCUUCUAGUAACAUCUCUCACCCAGGCUCCAGAGAGGCAGCAGAUUUCCCUGAAAUAGGUGCUUUUGGCCAUGGGAGCCUCAGUUUCCCUCAGAAGGAAUUCACCUAGAAAACACCAGCAAUUUUCCUUUUAUAUGUCUAAGGGGAGACACCAUUUAAAAUGUCAAAAAAAAAAAGUAAAAAAAAAAAGAAAAGUUAAAAGAAAAAUAAAAACCCAGUAUUUCUUUGGUUUUCUAGUGACUCAGCAAAAGCAAAAUCUGGGCCUGUGUUGUUAGGAAGAAGUACAUUUUAAAUUCUUUUAAACUGCAGCUUCUCACUGCAACAUCUUGGUUGAUGCAGGUUAAUGGCUGACUGCUAAAAAGAGAACUUCUUAGUUUCAGUUGUCUAAUGGGAUUUUUGGCAAGCUGCUUGUUAGAAGGAUUAUUUUCUUUAACAAUAUUGCUGUAGGAAUGCAUCUUCUAAAUAGCCUGCUACAUUAUUUUGACAUGACCUUCAUAUCUUUUGAACUUACAUUUUCUGGAAUUCUUUUUCUCCCAUUAAGAAGCAAUGUUGUUGGGUGUGUUUUUUCUAAUAAAUCUGGAUGGAUGAUCAGGAAAAAAAACCUGGUGUGUCCAAUGGCUUGAUAAUUUCAGGGUCAAAACAGAUUUUAUGUGUUGGUCUUCUUUCGCUUGCUGAUGCAUCUAUUUAACCAAGCAGAUGGUGCAUAAGAUCUAGCUGGCAGCACACAGAACGCAUUAGGAGAACAAAGGGAAUGUGAGAUUAAACCAAAAAGAGGCAAGAACAGAGUUUCCUCACUGUUCUGCAUGAAGGUAGGAGCUGCUCCGAGAGGAUGCAAACUCAAUUUUCUUAUUGGACUUCUGGCCUCUUCCCUCCAUCAGAUUAUUCAAAGGUAAAUUUGCUUUUCACUCUCUCAGAAAGACCAUUUUCCCCUCACUGGUAUGUUUAUUUAUUAGUAACAUUAUUUGUAAAAUGCUAACUUCAUUGGCUGCACUGUUACGAUGUUAUCUCUGUGUGCUUCUGUGAGAAUAUAACAAUGUCAUGAAGAAAAAUGAUGUAAAAAUGAUGCGGGUACAUAAAAUGGGAUUGACAAAAUGUAAUAAAUCACUGCUGGGCUGAGGAACAGACCUGCAUGUGUAAUGAAAUACUUCAGCAUUACAUCAUCGUUUAUGUAACAUCUGGCAGAGCCUUGUAUUUCAGUGCUGCUUUGAAUUGGGAUCAUUUUUUCCUCUCAGAUAAAAGAGAAAAACAAGCCUCUAGGUUUUGCACAUAGAAAACUGUAAAGAAAAAAAAAAUAAGAAAAAAAAUAACCCUUAAAAUACCCCAGAGAAAUUUCCCUCUGAGAAGUUCUGUCAUCUCCAACUGGAUGCAAAUAAUAUAAUGACUGAGCUGCAUACAAAAUAGUUAGCAUCCUAGAAGAUGUUUUCAAUUUUAUAAGAGAAACAUAUUUUAAUAUGAAGGGGGGUUUUUUGAGAUUAUUUCAUCCAAGAAUUUUUAUAAUUGACAUCAUUAUACAUGCCUUGGAACCAGACUUUUAACAAAAAAAAAAUGCAGGUGUGCAUUCUAUGUACUUUAGUGUUUUCCACUUCAUGUUUUUUUUCAAAUGAGAAUGAAAUUAUCUUUAUUGUGGACUCCUAGUCUUGUCUGAUGCAAACAUAUGGGUACUACUUCAGUGUGGAUUCCUCCAUCCCAGGCUGCCAUCAGAGUCUUCCUUAUCCCAGGAACUCUGCCCUGUUCACCUGUGGUGCCAGCCAGGACAACAUGAUGAGCUGGUGGGGUGAGGAUUAGUUGAAAUGUGUUUAAUUGGCUGUUGAAACAGAUGAAAUCAGAAAUGUGAAUGUCUGCUGCAGAAGUAUCUGGAUAGCACACUCACCUGUCUGAAAUCAGUAGAAAUCUUGCCAUUAAUUUCUAGGGUUCUUGGCUGUUGCCUUGUGCCUCUUGCUUCUGAAGCCUUUGGGAGGUCCUGGUGUGGUGGUGGUGGUGUGAAGGUGCUGCCAGGGAUCCAGGCUGCCAGCCCUCUCAGCAGAUAACUCUCCUUCCCCAAACUUUUGCAGGUGACUUUGGGGAAAAAAACAACAAACCAAAUCACUAUCAGGGCUGAAAACUGGCCAUGUGGAGGGCUAGCUACAAUGACUCUUUUUUGCAGCUGAGGCAACAGCCGGAUGGUCUAGGAUGGAAACUGUUCUUUCCAGUACCUGAAGAUUUUGGAUAAACAUGUUUUUUCCCUUAUAUAAGUGUCAUGGCAAUGUACCAAUGACCUAUGGAUUUCCAAGGGCAAGGAGAAGCAUUUUUACGUCCCACAGGCAUGACAAUGACAUUUUUGAUCCUGGACAUUGCAAGAGUGGAAGCAGACAGUCAGGUUACUGAGCAGGGGUUGUGUGAGGUUAGAGAACAAGUACUGGUGAAAGCUAAGACCAUCUUGAAGUGAAAACUGAGGUGUUCUUAUGCUAUCUCAACCUACUCCCUCUCCUAUAAUGAAAAAUAAAUGACCUUUGCAGUGAGGUGGUAUCUUCCCACAGGGCUUUCUGUGAGACACCAGGUGAGACUUCCAGUGAGUUUAGCAGCUCCUUCACAUUUGUGGUUUGUACCCUCAUGCUGUAUAACUGCCACAGUUUAAACAGGUUAAUAGAAGACAAAAUUAUCUAAUGCUAGUAAGGUUGUCUCAGUUCCCUGGGAAGGAUGAGCUGACAAUACAAGAAUAUCUGUAAGCAUCAUUGAGAACUGGCUUUCAAGGAAAAAGUCCUUUGCUAAAUAUUGUCUAAAUGGAAGGUGGUUUUUUAAAUCUCUGGUUGCUUCAAUUUUGGCAACCUUUUCUGUGAAGAAACCUCAGACCUUUCCUGGCCUGAGAAGUCCAAGGAAAGGCAGGUAGGCAGCUUGCUUUCCCUUCUGUACAUUCCUCUGGUGGUUUGAUCAACAGGAACUUUGGUUCUUAGCUUCAUCCUUGUCCUCAGUGGGUCAGAGCCCCAGUAUUGAGGUGUGACUCCAGGUCUAAGACUGAGCAGUAUGUUACUAAAAAAGAAUGAAGAGACUCUCUCUUUUGCUGUUCUUUACUUUGCCCAUGGCAAGGGCAGGAGCUGGUGAGGAGCUGUUGCUAUAAGAGUAAUUGCAUUCCUCAAAAGUCAGUGUUGGAUCUGCCUCUUGCACAGGGAUCGCCUUACCCACCUAAACAGUAUGUGGGCAUUAGCCUACAUGAUCAAAGACCAUGUCUAAUUCAGUGUAUGGAAAAGAUUUUGGGCAGUCCACUACUGUGCUGAGCAGGACAAAGGAUUUUACUCUGUAAUGUACACAUUACCAGUAAUGUGUUCAGGAUUUAGUCAAGCACUACUGCAGGUACUAAUACAUGCCACUGGGACAAGAAAAUGAGAAUACCCAGUCUGUCAAGAAAAUAAGAGCAAUUCUGGAGAAGUGAAAACAGUCACUCAGUGGGGAAGAGGACUGAGUGGGUCAGCCAGAAGCACCAGAGUUGGUUCACUACUGCUGGUGACUGAGGCAUCCCACUCCCCACAGUCCCUAAUGUCCUGUGACUUCACAGCGGGGGAAGAUACCCUUGUGAUUUCACUCUGUAAAUGAGGAGAUAAAGCAUGGAUUUUCCCAUUUCUAUCAGCCUCUGUCUGUAAUAACUUUGCUGCCAUGCUA
Cyanistes caeruleus (blue tit) is the source of this 7829-nucleotide non-coding RNA. The record is from RefSeq and is a predicted model, not a curated record. NCBI's taxonomy places the organism in Eukaryota, Metazoa, Chordata, Aves, Passeriformes, Paridae.